RNAcentral lists this small nuclear RNA (107 nucleotides) under Stegodyphus mimosarum. Lineage: Eukaryota; Metazoa; Arthropoda; Arachnida; Araneae; Eresidae. The record is from RNAcentral.
UUACUUGAUUCUGCAGUAUAUAUACGAAAAUUGGAACGAUACAGAGAAGAUUAGCACGGUCCCUGCGCAAGGAUAACAUGAAAAAUCGUGAAGUCUACCACAUCACA